CGAACCUGCGAAGGCAAGCGGAUCUCUUAAAGCCGUUCUCAGUUCGGACUGUAGGCUGCAACUCGCCUACACGAAGCUGGAAUCGCUAGUAAUCGCGGAUCAGCACGCCGCGGUGAAUACGUUCCCGGGCCUUGUACACACCGCCCGUCACACCAUGAGAGUCUGUAACACCCAAAGCCGGUGGGAUAACCUUUAUAGGAGUCAGCCGUCUAAGGUAGGACAGAUGAUUAGGGUGAAGUCGUAACAAGGUAUC
This 253-nucleotide ribosomal RNA is filed under the name uncultured bacterium. RNAcentral's name for it is "partial 16S ribosomal RNA". It matches the Rfam family "Bacterial small subunit ribosomal RNA", at positions 1250 to 1500 of the family's 1533-position model. The record is from RNAcentral.